This 333-nucleotide unclassified non-coding RNA is filed under the name soil metagenome. RNAcentral describes it as "partial contains 5.8S ribosomal RNA, internal transcribed spacer 2, and large subunit ribosomal RNA". The stretch from base 1 to 120 matches the Rfam family "5.8S ribosomal RNA", at positions 35 to 154 of the family's 154-position model. The record is from RNAcentral.
GAUGAAGAACGUAGUGAAAUGCGAUAAGUAAUGUGAAUUGCAGAAUUCAGUGAAUCAUCGAAUCUUUGAACGCACAUUGCGCCCGCCAGUAUUCUGGCGGGCAUGCCUGUUCGAGCGUCAUUUCAACCAUCAAGCCCCCGGCUUGUGUUGGGGACCUGCGGCUGCCGCAGGCCCUGAAAACCAGUGGCGGGCUCGCUAGUCACUCCGAGCGUAGUAAUACAUCUCGCUCAGGGCGUGCUGCGGGUUCCGGCCGUUAAAAGCCUUAUUUACCCAAGGUUGACCUCGGAUCAGGUAGGAAGACCCGCUGAACUUAAGCAUAUCAAUAGCGGAGGA